This 253-nucleotide ribosomal RNA is filed under the name uncultured bacterium. Its description in RNAcentral is "partial 16S ribosomal RNA". It matches the Rfam family "Bacterial small subunit ribosomal RNA", at positions 524 to 776 of the family's 1533-position model. The record is from RNAcentral.
AACGUAGGAGACAAACGUUAUCCGGAGUUACUGGGCGUAAAGGGCGUGUAGGUGGUUUCGUAAGUCUGGCGUGAAAUUUCUCGGCUUAACCGAGGCAGGUCGUCGGAUACUGCGGAACUUGAGGACGGUAGAGGCGUGUGGAAUUCCGGGUGUAGUGGUGAAAUGCGUAGAGAUCCGGAGGAACACCAGUGGCGAAGGCGACACGCUGGGCCGUACCUGACACUGAUGCGCGACAGCAUGGGGAGCAAGCAGG